This 253-nucleotide ribosomal RNA is filed under the name uncultured bacterium. Its description in RNAcentral is "partial 16S ribosomal RNA". It matches the Rfam family "Bacterial small subunit ribosomal RNA", at positions 524 to 776 of the family's 1533-position model. The record is from RNAcentral.
UACGUAGGGGGCAAGCGUUGUCCGGAUUUAUUGGGCGUAAAGAGCGUGUAGGCGGCUUUACAGGUCCGUUGUGAAAACUCGAGGCUCAACCUCGAGACGCCGGUGGAAACCGUAAAGCUAGAGUCCGGAAGAGGAGAGUGGAAUUCCUGGUGUAGCGGUGAAAUGCGCAGAUAUCAGGAAGAACCCCCGUGGCGAAGGCGGCUCUCUGGGACGGUACUGACGCUGAGACGCGAAAGCGUGGGGAGCGAACAGG